RNAcentral lists this ribosomal RNA (256 nucleotides) under uncultured bacterium. RNAcentral describes it as "partial 16S ribosomal RNA". It matches the Rfam family "Bacterial small subunit ribosomal RNA", at positions 524 to 776 of the family's 1533-position model. The record is from RNAcentral.
UACGGGGGGGGGCAAGCGUUGUUCGGAAUUACUGGGCGUAAAGGGCUCGUAGGCGGCCAACUAAGUCAUACGUGAAAUCCCUCGGCUUAACCGGGGAACUGCGUCUGAUACUGGAUGGCUUGAGUUCGGGAGAGGGAUGCGGAAUUCCAGGUGUAGCGGUGAAAUGCGUAGAUAUCUGGAGGAACACCGGUGGCGAAGGCGGCAUCCUGGACCGAUACUGACGCUGAGAAGCGAAAAGCAUGGGGGAGCGAACAGG